CACGGGUGAGUAACGCGUAUCCAACCUUCCCGUUACUGCGGGAUAACCUGCCGAAAGGCAGACUAAUACCGCAUGUUCUUCGAUGACGGCAUCAGAUUCGAAGCAAAGACUCGUCGGUAACGGAGGGGGAUGCGUCUGAUUAGCUAGUUGGCGGGGCGACGGCCCACCAAGGCGACGAUCAGUAGGGGUUCUGAGAGGAUGAACGGCCACAUUGGGACUGAGACACGGCCCAAACUCC
RNAcentral lists this ribosomal RNA (238 nucleotides) under uncultured bacterium. RNAcentral's name for it is "partial 16S ribosomal RNA". It matches the Rfam family "Bacterial small subunit ribosomal RNA", at positions 102 to 339 of the family's 1533-position model. The record is from RNAcentral.